This 424-nucleotide ribosomal RNA is filed under the name uncultured prokaryote. Its description in RNAcentral is "bacterial SSU rRNA". It matches the Rfam family "Bacterial small subunit ribosomal RNA", at positions 355 to 776 of the family's 1533-position model. The record is from RNAcentral.
UAAGGAAUAUUGGGCAAUGGAGGCAACUCUGACCCAGCCAUGCCGCGUGCAGGAAGACGGCCCUAUGGGUUGUAAACUGCUUUUAAUAGGGAUUAAAGUCAACUACGUGUAGUUGUUUGCAAGUACCUAUAGAAUAAGCAUCGGCUAACUCCGUGCCAGCAGCCGCGGUAAUACGGAGGAUGCAAGCGUUAUCCGGAUUUAUUGGGUUUAAAGGGUGCGCAGGCGGAAGAUUAAGUCGGCGGUGAAAUUUUGCAGCUCAACUGUAAAAGUGCCAUCGAUACUGGUUUUCUUGAGUGUGGAUGAAGUAGGCGGAAUUUGUGGUGUAGCGGUGAAAUGCAUAGAUAUCACGAGGAACUCCGAUUGCGCAGGCAGCUUACUAGGCCAUAACUGACGCUCAGGCACGAAGGCGUGGGGAUCAAACAGG